RNAcentral lists this non-coding RNA (93 nucleotides) under Nomascus leucogenys (northern white-cheeked gibbon). Lineage: Eukaryota; Metazoa; Chordata; Mammalia; Primates; Hylobatidae. The record is from RNAcentral.
AGCUGGUUUGACUGUCAUGGGUUAUCAGAACUUAUUAACGUUAGUGUCACUAAAGUUGGUAUACAACCCCCCCGCUGCUAAAUUUGGCUUAAA